Molecule: transfer RNA, 77 nt
Filed under: Desulfofundulus thermocisternus
Lineage: Bacteria; Bacillati; Bacillota; Clostridia; Eubacteriales; Peptococcaceae
Also listed under: 10 other names
Description: tRNA-Arg
Rfam family: tRNA
About the family: Transfer RNA (tRNA) molecules are approximately 80 nucleotides in length.
Source: RNAcentral
GUGCCUGUAGCUCAAUUGGAUAGAGCAUCUGACUACGGAUCAGAAGGUUGGGGGUUCGAGUCCCUCCAGGCACGCCA